GCUGGGUGCAGUGGUGCACGCCUGUAAUCCCAGCAGCUCAGGAGGCUGAGGCAGGAGGAUUGCAAGUUCAAAGCCAGCCUCAGCAAUUUAUUGAGGCUUUAAGAAACUUAGUGAGACUGUGUCUAAA
This 127-nucleotide small RNA is filed under the name Marmota monax (woodchuck). The record is from RNAcentral. Lineage: Eukaryota; Metazoa; Chordata; Mammalia; Rodentia; Sciuridae.